GCUGUCCCAAGCGAAGUUUUCUUUGGGUAUCGCUUGAGAACUGACAGAGAUAAUAUUAUGGGAUCAGAGCUUGAUAACGGGCUAUUUACGGAUGUGACUUAUUUGCGGAAGAAUGUGGAUGAUAAUCUUAAAGCCAGUGCAGUUAGUCAGAAAAAGAGGUUCGACAAUUCAAGAAUAAGGGCAAGAAAAUAUGAAAUUGGUGACCUUGUACUUAUUAAAAUUCAGAGUAAGAAUAACGAUGGCCAAAGUACAAAAUUGAUGCCGAUUUUUAAAGGGCCAUUUCAAAUAAAAAGCGUAUUAGGCAAUGAUCGUUAUGAGGUGACGGAUUUAAGAGGUUCUGAGCGUUCUAAUAAGAAUUAUACAGGCACGGCAGCAGCCGAAAAUAUGAAGCCGUGGAUUAAAAUAGAUGAUUGGGCAUCUGAUUAAAGUAUUAUGAAAUCUAAUCAUAUUAUCGUCAUGUGUGGCGUCAGGCGCUGACACCAUGCAGCAUGGCCGUGUUGGCAACAAAGAAGGAACGUCACUGACUGCAGCUUCCGGUGGUGCUAUCGUAGCACGCAGCAGCAGUUUCCGGUCGACAGAGGGCGCCACUUCGUGGAACAAAACCGGCAUGCUCGGCUGUGCGCGUUUCUUGCGGGGUUGGCACUCGACACGAGAACAUCGAUUAUUCUAAUUGCUGUCCGAUCGUUUGAUUUGAAGUGUAAUUGUAAUCUUGUCGUUUUUUUAAUAAAAGUAUUUUAUAUAUUGGG
Long non-coding RNA from Leguminivora glycinivorella, 746 nucleotides. RefSeq lists it as uncharacterized. The transcript has 2 exons. Lineage: Eukaryota; Metazoa; Arthropoda; Insecta; Lepidoptera; Tortricidae. The record is from RefSeq and is a predicted model, not a curated record.